Molecule: long non-coding RNA, 137 nt
Organism: Choloepus didactylus (southern two-toed sloth)
Lineage: Eukaryota; Metazoa; Chordata; Mammalia; Pilosa; Megalonychidae
Exons: 3
Source: RefSeq, a predicted model, not a curated record
UUUGCUGAAAGAUUUGGGGGCAGACUCAGAUUUCACAGAUGCUGCUAUGUGCAUGCUGUGGUAGCUGAUAAAGAAAAAAGGAGCUGCAGUGACCAUUGCUGACCUGCCAACGGAAUAAAAUCCAGAUGCCUUAAGGU